RNAcentral lists this transfer RNA (70 nucleotides) under Sciocoris lateralis. RNAcentral's name for it is "tRNA-Met". It matches the Rfam family "tRNA". Rfam says of the family: Transfer RNA (tRNA) molecules are approximately 80 nucleotides in length. Their secondary structure includes four short double-helical elements and three loops (D, anti-codon, and T loops). The record is from RNAcentral. Lineage: Eukaryota; Metazoa; Arthropoda; Insecta; Hemiptera; Pentatomidae.
AGAAAGGUAAGCUAAAUAAAGCUAUUAGGUUCAUACCCUGCUUAUAGGGGUAACAAUCCCCUCCUCUCUA